Molecule: ribosomal RNA, 444 nt
Filed under: uncultured Rickettsiaceae bacterium
Lineage: Bacteria; Pseudomonadati; Pseudomonadota; Alphaproteobacteria; Rickettsiales; Rickettsiaceae
Description: bacterial SSU rRNA
Rfam family: Bacterial small subunit ribosomal RNA
Source: RNAcentral
AAAGAACGCUGGCGGCAUGCCUAACACAUGCAAGUCGAACGAACACCUCUAGCUUGCUAGAGAAUGUUAGUGGCAAACGGGUGAGUAACACGUAGGAAUUUACCUUGCAGUAAGGAAUAACAGUUGGAAACGACUGCUAAUACCAUAUACGCUCUUCGGAGGAAAGAUUUAUCGCUGUAAGAUGAGCCUGCGCUAGAUUAGGUUGUUGGUAGGGUAAUGGCCUACCAAGCUGAUGAUCUAUAGCUGGUCUGAGAGGACGAUCAGCCACACUGGAACUUAGAUACGGUCCAGACUCCUACGGGAGGCAGCAGUGGGGAAUAUUGGACAAUGGGCGAAAGCCUGAUCCAGCAAUGCCGCGUGAAUGAUGAAGGCCUUAGGGUUGUAAAGUUCUUUCAGUGGGGAAGAAAGUGACGGUACCCACAGAAGAAGCUCCGGCUAACUCCG